AGUGGUGUGAGUGGUCCUUUGACCUACGAUAUCAUUGAUUAUUCACAGUGAGGCCACUGAGUUUGACUGCAUGUUCUCUUGAUCUCAAGAUAUUCAAAUCUUUGCUGUGUAUGUUGGUUUCAAUAGAUUCAGAUUUGCUGUUUGGAAUAGGAUGCACCUAGAUAGAAUCUAUCGAUCUUGGUAGAAAAGAAGAAGUCCUAUGUGAUUUGCGAGACUAAGUUUAGAAAGUCUUUGACCAAAGCAAGUGUGAAUAUUAAAAAAGAGUUU
Molecule: long non-coding RNA, 267 nt
Filed under: Elaeis guineensis (African oil palm)
Lineage: Eukaryota; Viridiplantae; Streptophyta; Magnoliopsida; Arecales; Arecaceae
Description: long non-coding RNA (EGUI_LNC020092)
Source: RNAcentral